This is a long non-coding RNA of Zonotrichia albicollis (white-throated sparrow), 1317 nucleotides long. RefSeq lists it as uncharacterized. The record is from RefSeq and is a predicted model, not a curated record. Lineage: Eukaryota; Metazoa; Chordata; Aves; Passeriformes; Passerellidae.
CGCGGAGCGGGCCGGAGCGAGGGCGGCGAGCAGAGCGGCGGCGCAGAUGCCAAACUAGCUGCAGUGGAGUGAAAAUACUGUAGAAGCCCUGAAGAUAAGGGACUAAUGUCUGUGUCUCAAACAUGAACAGCCAGAUUACUGUGCUGCCAACCAAGGAUCCUUGGAAAUAACAUGCUGUGAGAAGUAACAGGAUGUGGCUGGAGAAGGGGGCCUUACAGGGCCAGGGCAGCAGUUUUCUGGGACAGAAAUCCUUGUUCUGGCUCCUGGAGAUAAGCACAGUUGGACAUACAGGAAUGAGGUCAAGAAAAAGGAUUGCUGACCAAAAGCCAACCCAGCAGAGGGGGAUCAAGACACCAAAGACACCCUGAAGCCCUCCAACCUACUUCCAGAAAGAUCUAGAGGAAUGAACUGUGCAUGACAACUGAUUUGCAUAGAAAGCAAGAAACUUAUCUAUAAAUAAGUACCCCCAUGAGGCUCCAGGACUUCAUUGACUAUUCAUGGCUCCAGGACUCUGGACAUCCCAUUAGCUGGAUCAGCACUGGAACAAGGACUGGUGAUCUUUGUCCCUCCCUCCCUCCAGUUUCUCUCACUCACUCUACCUCUUUAUUCAGAACCCACCACUGUGUGCUUAUACUGGAAAAUGAGGGAAUAACAUAUCAAUUUCCAUGACAAGUGUAUAAUUCACUAAUAAAACUCUGUAAGCUUUUACAGACCUUCUGGCUUUGUCAUUCCUUGUUGACUGUGAGCAUCUGCACACCUGUGUGUUCCCUUCCCUUUUGGGGUGGGAUGUCUCAACAGCAAAAAGUACUGCUCAUUAACCGAAAAUUUUAACAUUGGAAAACAAGUAUAUCAUAACUGAUGUUCACAAGGUUAAAGAUCUAAAUUCAAGGUAUGGCUACUCACAUCACCUGUCAAAAAUUAGCAAGAGAUUCCUAUUUAACUUUUAAAUCCAUUUAAUAUAGUAUUUGGAAUUUAAAACUAUGAUAUGAUAGUCAGGUUUUUUUGGAUUUCAAAAAUAAAAUUAAUGUCAUUCAGAAAGAUAAAAUUAGGAUAAUCUGCAACAGUCUUCUAAUAGGAAAUCAUCACUCUAAAUAUUUUUUUUAAUGGAACAAACAUUUCAUUCAAGCCUGGAAUUGAGAUAAAUCCAGGUCACUAAGAGAUUUUCUUCUUGUAAAGAGAAAUUCAUAGAUUUAUUUCUUUGCAGCUACAAAAGGAUUACAAAAUAAAGUAGAUCUUGGGUAGCAAGGUAUAGAUCAAAUCUUUCCAACAAUUAAGUUGCAAUCUGUAAUAACAACCAAACAAGUAUUUUCAAUUCUA